UUUUAUUUCAAGAUAAUAAUUCUUUCUUUUAAUUAAAUUAUAAUGACUAUAAUAAUUUCAUCCUCAUUAUCAUGUACUUGCUUCACUUUAAGUCUCUUAAUACAACAAAUGAAUAUUUCACAUUUUUUAAGAUAAUUAGUAUACAUUACAAAUUAGAUUAGGUUUGUGAUAUAUGUUUGACUGGUUGGUGUGUGAUAUUGUUAAUGUGGUAGUUUCUUAGUUAUAUUAACGCCUCUAACAAUCCUACAUUUAGAUGCUGAUGUGGUAUUAUUUUUUGUUGUACUUGUAAUUUAGUUUUUGAAUUUAUAUAGUGUAGGAUUGAUGAUGUGUUAAAUUUUUGUUGGUUUGUAAUUUAUUCUAGGUUGGCGCAAAAUGAGAUUGAUACAUGUCGUUUUUGAGUUGUUUGUUGGUUGUUUUAUAUUGGAAUGACACAAUGCCUAGGUUGAUGUUGUGUUGUUUUUAUAUUAUUUAUAUUGUAUAUAUUUUAAAUUUUAGUUUUGGAGUUAUUAGUUUAUUAGUUGUUUAAUAAAAAAAAGAAUGUAUGUUUAGUUGUUUGUUAGUUAUUUGCAUGUAAAAAUGUAAACAUAUUUGUAUUGUUGUUACGUUCUUUAAUUUAUAAUAAUAUAUUUUUAUAUAAUUUUAGAUAAAUAUUUAGUUUUUAAAUGUGUAUUUUAGGUUAAUUUCAAGUUUAUUUAUAUAUUUUAAAUAAGUUUAGGUAUAUUUUGAACCGUGUGUCAUUUUGAAUUUAACUCAUCAUCAUGAUUUUUCUCAAACUAUUUAUUUUCCUUUUUAAUUUAAUGAGCUUUUUUUGCUAGGUAAAAUAUAAUGAGUUUAUAUUAAUGAUUUGUAAUUUUUUUUUGAAAUGUAUCAUUGUGAAUAUAUUUUUGUUGUUAUUAAAUUAUUAGUUAGUUGAUUUAAAAUUGUCAUCUAGUUGUUUAACAAAUAUUAAAAUUAUAUAUGUUUAGUUUUUAUGGUGUAUAAAUAAUAUUUUAUAUGUGUUUUUAUCUUAUUAAAUUAUUUUUGUAUUUAUUAAGUUGUUGACUCAAUUUAUUAUGUCUAAUUUAUUUGCAUAUUAACACUACUACAAAAUAAUGAAUUCGCGAUGGUCCCAAAAAUAAUUUUUUUCGGGGACCGUCGUUAAAAAAAUUAAGCAAUUAUUUAAAACUGUUGAGAAAAAUUAGUAUUCUCGACGGUUUAUAACUGUGCCUAAAAAAUUAGGCGACAUUUUUUAGGAAAAAAAAUAUAUGGGCUUAUACCCGACGGUUCAAAACCGUUAGGUAUAGUAUAGCCGACGGAAAGUUGCUUCGGGCCACAUUGUCAAGGAAAAAUAUUUAAAAUAUGGAAAGUUUUCCAUUAACAUGGAUGAAUACCUAUACAAAGAUUAUCGUCGGGUAUUUAUCGAAGAAGCCAAUGUGGAGAAUGCACUACUACUCCCAUGUUCCAUAGCCGACGAUUCAUUGACGACAAUAGGUCAAGUUGUAAAAUAUUAUAUAGUAUGACCGAAAGACUAUCUUACACCUCUUGGAAAAUGAUUGACACAACCACCCAUGAGAAAUUUCAGAACCAACCCGUGAAGAGAAGCACAAAAGCCUUUAGAUUUACUCGGUCCUCCAACACAGCCUCUAAAACACCUUGAGAGGCCGAGUAAGGCAAAAGUUCAUGGUCGUUAUGUCCAACCAUUCCAAACUUCCUCCAUCAUUGCCUUUUGAAACUUCCUCAGAAGGUGGCCCAAGUCAUCUAUAAUCCAAUUUCAAGUUAAUAAUGAGCUAUUUGGGGGUCACAUAUGACUCUAUUUCGCUUGCUAAGAGUGACAUUUAGGAAUUGUGCACCAUACAAUACUUGGGAGCCCAACCAAUAGGAGUUUGGUGAAAUUAUGAUUUCUAACUCUUAAUAAUAAACUUGAUAAUGUUCUUUUGACAACAACGAUUAUUAAUUAUGAUUUUUUAUCAGAUACAUGAAAGAAAGAUUGUUGGACAUUGGUAGACUGAAUCAAGUAUAUGAAUUUCUGAAUCCGGGUGCGAUUGUCACUGAUGCAAGGGCUGAUAGUAAUCGUUGUAAAGCACUAGUCACUCGAAUGACUAGGAUGACUAUUUCAGACAAAUAGCUUAUUGCCCCAUAUAAUAAUUGGGACAUGUUUCACUGGAUUCUUGUACUCAUCCAACCAAGUACGCAGACGGUGGCAUACUUGGAUCCAGGCAACGACGACAUAGCGGAUGAUCUGAACUUUAUCAUAUACACGCAAGUUCUAUAUCAAACGUCCCAAUAUGUAAACUUAUUCUUUAUAUAUAAAUAUGUAUAUGCUAAUUAAAUUUACUUUUUGUGUAGAUCGUUCACCAUAUAUAACCAAAUGAUAGGACGGCCUGAUCGACCUAUCUAAUGGAUGACUCCUAUCUGUCCUCAACAAUCCGACGACAAACAAUGUGGAUACUACAUCAUGAAAUUCAUUAAAAGUUUCAUGAUCGUAGAACAUCCAAUGCAAGUACAGUUGAUCCGACAUGAUAGGUUCUCCACUCCGUACACUAAUGAUGAGAUAAAUAUUAUGCGUGAUCGGUGGAUUUAUUAAGUGAAAGUGGAAGCGGAGCGACAACAGUUUCCGUGUUAGUCAGUGUGUAUAUAUCUCGAUUUAUCGUUACUAUAUAGAUUUGUAAAUAUAUUUAAAUUAUUAUAAUUAGCGUUAACUUAAUUAUAUAUUUUUGAAUGAUAUGAGCGUUAGUUUAAUUAUUGUGACUAUACAGAAUUUUAAAUAUAUUUAGAUAAUUAUAGCGUUAGUUUAAAUAAUUGUGAAAACUAUACAGAUUUGUACAAAAUUUAAAAAUUAAUGCAGAGAAAAAAUUGCAGAAAAUCUAUUUUUCCCCUAUUUUUUAAAUGUAAUGAAUGAAAAAAACCGUCGCUAAAAAAAUUAAUAAAAAACGUAACCAGUCUAUAAGGCACGGUUUAAAACCGUUGCCUAUAACUGUUUAUAGGCGACGGUUUAUAACCGUGCCCUAUUUAACCGUCGCCUAUAGUAUAGGACACGGUUAUAAACUGUCGCCUAUACCCAUUUGUAGGCGACGAUUUUAAACCGUCGGAAAACCCACAUUAGCAACGGUUUUAAACUGUUGCCUAUUCUGUCCGUUUUACGACGGUCGUAUAGGCGACGGUUAUAGAAACUGACGGGAAUACUUUAAACGACUGUUAAAAAACGUCGAAAAUGUCUAUUUUUGUAGUAGUGUAAAGUUGAGUUGUUGUCCUUUUUUACUGUGAUGAUUUUGGAUUUAUAUACAGUUGUUCUUGCGUAUAUUUUUAGUUUAUUUUUGACACAUUUUGUUGCUGUUUUAUUUUUUAUCGGUGUAUUAUGAGUUUGAU
This is a long non-coding RNA of Cannabis sativa, 3345 nucleotides long. RefSeq lists it as uncharacterized. NCBI's taxonomy places the organism in Eukaryota, Viridiplantae, Streptophyta, Magnoliopsida, Rosales, Cannabaceae. The record is from RefSeq and is a predicted model, not a curated record. The transcript is spliced from 3 exons.